This 58-nucleotide transfer RNA is filed under the name Dipodomys ordii (Ord's kangaroo rat). It matches the Rfam family "tRNA", at positions 8 to 63 of the family's 71-position model. From Rfam's summary of the family: Transfer RNA (tRNA) molecules are approximately 80 nucleotides in length. Their secondary structure includes four short double-helical elements and three loops (D, anti-codon, and T loops). Further hydrogen bonds mediate the characteristic L-shaped molecular structure. tRNAs have two regions of fundamental functional importance: the anti-codon, which is responsible for specific mRNA codon recognition, and the 3' end, to which the tRNAs corresponding amino acid is attached (by aminoacyl-tRNA synthetases). tRNAs cope with the degeneracy of the genetic code in two manners: having more than one tRNA (with a specific anti-codon) for a particular amino acid; and 'wobble' base-pairing, i.e. permitting non-standard base-pairing at the 3rd anti-codon position. Lineage: Eukaryota; Metazoa; Chordata; Mammalia; Rodentia; Heteromyidae. The record is from Rfam by way of RNAcentral.
UGGCUUAGUGGUAGAGUGCUUGCCUAGCAUGCAUGAAGCCCUGGGUUUGAUUUCCCAG